RNAcentral lists this ribosomal RNA (550 nucleotides) under Phoma sp. F38. RNAcentral describes it as "eukaryotic LSU rRNA". The stretch from base 195 to 348 matches the Rfam family "5.8S ribosomal RNA". Lineage: Eukaryota; Fungi; Ascomycota; Dothideomycetes; Pleosporales; Didymellaceae. The record is from RNAcentral.
GAAGUAAAAGUCGUAACAAGGUUUCCGUAGGUGAACCUGCGGAAGGAUCAUUACCUAGAGUUGUAGGCUUUGCCUGCUAUCUCUUACCCAUGUCUUUUGAGUACCUUCGUUUCCUCGGUGGGUUCGCCCGCCGAUUGGACAAAACUUAAACCCUUUGUAGUUGCAAUCAGCGUCUGAAAAAACUUAAUAGUUACAACUUUCAACAACGGAUCUCUUGGUUCUGGCAUCGAUGAAGAACGCAGCGAAAUGCGAUAAGUAGUGUGAAUUGCAGAAUUCAGUGAAUCAUCGAAUCUUUGAACGCACAUUGCGCCCCUUGGUAUUCCAUGGGGCAUGCCUGUUCGAGCGUCAUUUGUACCUUCAAGCUCUGCUUGGUGUUGGGUGUUUGUCUCGCCUUUGCGUGUAGACUCGCCUCAAAACAAUUGGCAGCCGGCGUAUUGAUUUCGGAGCGCAGUACAUCUCGCGCUUUGCACUCAUAACGACGACGUCCAAAAAGUACAUUUUUACACUCUUGACCUCGGAUCAGGUAGGGAUACCCGCUGAACUUAAGCAU